Mustela lutreola (European mink) is the source of this 2135-nucleotide long non-coding RNA. RefSeq lists it as uncharacterized. The transcript has 3 exons. NCBI's taxonomy places the organism in Eukaryota, Metazoa, Chordata, Mammalia, Carnivora, Mustelidae. The record is from RefSeq and is a predicted model, not a curated record.
CUCACCGCCCCUCUGGGUGCGGCCCGCGUCUGCUCGGACGCGGCCCGGAACGUCCUGACUCGACCCAUCGUGGCCUCGCGUGUGUCCCCGGGUGACCGCCACGAAGGAGGCGGGAGCUCGGGAGUAGGCCCUCACAGGCGCGUCCUCCCGCCUCCGUGGUCUGGGUCCUCCUUCUGGUUAGGAUCCCCGUUAUCCUACCACCUUGCGCCCGAGGGCGGACGGGGAGGGGCGCCUGGCCCGUUGUGCUCCGGGGAACGACCCAGCCUCGAAGCUCUUGGGACGCAGGACAGCCGAGGCCCUGCGCCUGACCCCGGAGAAGCCCGUGCACGCGCCAGCCUCCCGGACCCAAGUGGAGAGUCCCGCCCGGCUGUCCGCGCCCAGCGUGCGGCCACCGGCGACGUCCGUCGUAGCGAGCCGGGCUCGGCGGAGGGAAAUGCUCGCGAACUGUCUGCACGCGCGUUUUCUUGUCGGCCCCGCUGUAGGCAGGGGGUCUGCAAACGCAACGAAGAUUCCAGAACCCCAGCCCUAACUGCUCAUCCGGUGAGCGCGGGAGCCAGACUCUUCGGCCGGCUUUUUACAAAGUUCUGCUUGCUUCGUGUAGCUUCGACUGGAGAUUUCCCAAAGCAGUUUGUGUUUUGUUUUGCAGUCCUUUCCAUAAUUUUAGCUCGUGUAGUUGAGAGUGUUUAUAGUACUGAAGAAAACAUUCUAACAGCGUUGGAUGCUUAUUGCUCUUUUGGUUCAACUAAGAUUUAUACAAGUAGGACAUAGCACAUUUUCCACUUAAAACAGUCCCUAUCUUUAAGAUAAAUUAACACCACGUGGGAGAGAGAAAGGACAAGAGGAACAGAAGAGGGACACACUGGAUAGAAGAACUACUAGUCCAGUGAUCUUCAAACAUUAUCGCCAAAAGAACUGAUCAGAAUGAAAUUUGCAGCAUAAUGUAUAAUGUCACUCAGUGGAACAUUCAGGAAGCCUCCAGAGAGGCCCACAGGAAUGGAGAUCACCAUCCCACAGCCAGCAAAUACUGAGACUUACAGAAGACUACAUGAGUGAGCUUGGAAGUGAAUUCUCUAGCCCUAGGCAAGCUUCUAGGUGACAUUAGUUCCCCAACGGAACAACUUGGCAGCAACCUCUGGGGACCCAAAACCAUUCCCUGAUUCCUCUCAAAAACUGUAGGAGAGAAUAAAUGCUGUCUUAAACUACUAUGUUAGAAGUAAUCUGUUACACAGCCACUAUCAUCUGCUUAAAAAAACAAACAAACAAACAAACAAACAAAAACCAGCCAGGAACACCUGCUUGGCUCAGUCCGUAGGGCGUGCAACUCUUGAUCUCAGGGUCAUGAGUUCAAGUCCCAUGUUGGGCAUACCACCUCCUUAAAAAAAAUAAUAAUAAUACAUGAGCGGGUUGGCUAGAUCCUAGGUUCCUCUUUUUUUUUUUUCUUUUGAAGAUUUUAUUUAUUUGACAGACAGAGAUCACAAGGAGGCAGAGAGAGAGAGGGGGAGAAGCAGGCUCCCCACUGAGCAGAGAGCUUGAUGUGAGGCUAGAUCCCAGGACCCUGAGAUCAUGACCUGAGCUCAAGACAGAGGCUCAACCCAUUGAGCCACCCAGGCGCCCCCUAGGAUCCUCUUCUUAACACCAGAAGUGGUUCUUUUAAUUUAGGAUUCAAUAAAGGUAAUUAAAAGAUUCUUGGGAUUCACCAAUCUCAUGCUAAAAAAUGAAUUUUUUAUCAUUUAUAUACUUAUUAUAAGUGAACUAAAGAGUAAAGUAAAUUACAAAGAGUAAAAUAUUUACAAUGAUUAAACACCUAUCACCACAUAUGGUUGCAGAGUUAACUAUCAGAUCUGUACAAGUAUUGAUAAGAUGGUAUAACUGAUCAGAGAAAUAGCUCUUUGGUUCUGGCUGAGUUUGGGCUUUUUUCCUGUCAUCCUAGCUCUCUUUCUCUUCGUAGCCGCUCUCUGUCCUAUUCUAGUCGUGCCACGACUUUUAGAUGAAUAGUGCCUUUCUCCCUCCAUUUCUAAAGUGCAGAUUAUUGCUGCAUCUGUAUGUUGUUGUUUUUUUGUUUUGUUUUUUGUUUUUGUUUUGCCAGUGAACAAGUCUGUGUGAAGUUAGCACUUCAAGAAACAUGAGCCCAUGGG